UGGGGAAUAUUGCACAAUGGGCGCAAGCCUGAUGCAGCCAUGCCGCGUGUGUGAAGAAGGCCUUCGGGUUGUAAAGCACUUUCAGCGAGGAGGAAGGGUAGUGUGUUAAUAGCACAUUGCAUUGACGUUACUCGCAGAAGAAGCACCGGCUAACUCCGUGCCAGCAGCCGCGGUAAUACGGAGGGUGCAAGCGUUAAUCGGAAUUACUGGGCAUAAAGCGCACGCAGGCGGUUUGUUAAGUCAGAUGUGAAAUCCCCGCGCUUAACGUGGGAACUGCAUUUGAAACUGGCAAGCUAGAGUCUUGUAGAGGGGGGUAGAAUUCCAGGUGUAGCGGUGAAAUGCGUAGAGAUCUGGAGGAAUACCGGUGGCGAAGGCGGCCCCCUGGACAAAGACUGACGCUCAGGUGCGAAAGCGUGGGGAGCAAACA
This 427-nucleotide ribosomal RNA is filed under the name uncultured bacterium. Its description in RNAcentral is "partial 16S ribosomal RNA". It matches the Rfam family "Bacterial small subunit ribosomal RNA", at positions 355 to 774 of the family's 1533-position model. The record is from RNAcentral.